AUGGAAGACUCCCACUUAAAUCCUAACUUGUAUGUCUGGCCUUGCAUCCCCACCAUCUCAGGGCCAAUUGAGAACACCAUGCUUGUCAGCAGGAUGGAGGCUGAGCCCUCACCAUCCCCUCAGGCUUUCUUGGGGCUACAGCCUGAUCGGCUCUGAACCUCCCCAUCUGGCUUCCCAUGAUUGUCUUUGCUCCUCCCUCUGCCUCACAAGUCCUGCAGGUGGUUCGUGACCUCUCCAAGAAGAUGGUGUUGGCCUAACGAGAGGGAGGUAGAAGGUGAUGGAAGUGGCAGUGUGGUUUCUAAUCUCCCAUCCCCCACCCCAACCCCUGCCCACACAGAGGGCCAAAAGAAGCAGCAAUGCUGGAAUCAGGGUUGCCUGAGAUAAAUGAACCUUAGGCCCUCUUCCCUACGGAGAAUGAUGACCAUCAGAAAGAUGGAAUGACUUAAGGGGCACCUGUCUACCUGUCUAUGCUACAGUGAAGCACACCAAGGAGGACACCCAACUCUCUGCAGUUGGGCCUGUCCGUCUGAAACAUCCCUUAGGAAACACAGGCACAAACACAGCCCUCCUGAUCUCCAGCAGCAUGGGCAGGUGGCAGUGACAGCAGCGGUGGCUCAGGCCCAGGUCCAGGCCUCCCAGACAUAGCAGUAGCAGCCUUAGCCACCACCCAUCCAGUCCCCUGCAGUAUCCUCCCAGGAUAGGGACAGCAAUC
This 712-nucleotide long non-coding RNA is filed under the name Homo sapiens (human). RNAcentral's name for it is "non-protein coding lnc-MKLN1-10:1". The record is from RNAcentral. Lineage: Eukaryota; Metazoa; Chordata; Mammalia; Primates; Hominidae.